Molecule: ribosomal RNA, 469 nt
Filed under: uncultured bacterium
Lineage: Bacteria
Description: partial 16S ribosomal RNA
Rfam family: Bacterial small subunit ribosomal RNA
Source: RNAcentral
GACGAACGCUGGCGGCGUGCUUAACACAUGCCAGUCGAACGGUGAAGCGAGUGCUUGCACUCGUGGAUCAGUGGCGAACGGGUGAGUAACACGUGAGUAACCUGCCCAUCACUCUGGGAUAAGCACUGGAAACGGUGUCUAAUACUGGAUACGACCAACCCCUGCAUGGGGUGUUGGUGGAAAGAUUUAUCGGUGAUGGAUGGACUCGCGGCCUAUCAGCUUGUUGGCGGGGUCAUGGCUCACCAAGGCCACGACGGGUAGCCGGCCUGAGAGGGUGACCGGCCACACUGGGACUGAGACACGGCCCAGACUCCUACGGGAGGCAGCAGUGGGGAAUAUUGCACAAUGGGCGAAAGCCUGAUGCAGCGACGCCGCGUGAGGGAUGACGGCCUUCGGGUUGUAAACCUCUUUCAGCAGGGAAGAAGCGAAAGUGACGGUACCUGCAGAAGAAGCACCGGCUAACUACGUG